Molecule: non-coding RNA, 21 nt
Filed under: Arabidopsis thaliana (thale cress)
Lineage: Eukaryota; Viridiplantae; Streptophyta; Magnoliopsida; Brassicales; Brassicaceae
Source: RNAcentral
UCGUUGGCUAAGUCCGUUCGG